This 21-nucleotide non-coding RNA is filed under the name Caenorhabditis elegans. The record is from RNAcentral. Lineage: Eukaryota; Metazoa; Nematoda; Chromadorea; Rhabditida; Rhabditidae.
UAUUCUAUACAAUGGGUAUAC